This 429-nucleotide ribosomal RNA is filed under the name Pseudomonadota bacterium. Its description in RNAcentral is "Proteobacteria bacterium partial 16S ribosomal RNA". It matches the Rfam family "Bacterial small subunit ribosomal RNA", at positions 355 to 776 of the family's 1533-position model. Lineage: Bacteria; Pseudomonadati; Pseudomonadota. The record is from RNAcentral.
UGGGGAAUAUUGGACAAUGGGCGAAAGCCUGAUCCAGCCAUGCCGCGUGUGUGAAGAAGGUCUUCGGAUUGUAAAGCACUUUAAGUUGGGAGGAAGGGCAGUAAGCGAGUACCUUGCUGUCUUGACGUUACCGACAGAAUAAGCACCGGCUAACUCUGUGCCAGCAGCCGCGGUAAUACAGAGGGUGCAAGCGUUAAUCGGAAUUACUGGGCGUAAAGCGCGCGUAGGUGGUUCGUUAAGUUGAAUGUGAAAGCCCCGGGCUCAACCUGGGAACUGCAUCCAAAACUGGCGAGCUAGAGUAGGGCAGAGGGUAGUGGAAUUUCCUGUGUAGCGGAGAAAUGCGUAGAUAUAGGAAGGAACACCAGUGGCGAAGGCGACAACCUGGGCUCAUACUGACACUGAGGUGCGAAAGCGUGGGGAGCAAACAGG